Molecule: non-coding RNA, 214 nt
Organism: Pelobates cultripes (western spadefoot toad)
Lineage: Eukaryota; Metazoa; Chordata; Amphibia; Anura; Pelobatidae
Source: the annotation of a GenBank genome assembly
UCUGACUUAUGCAGACCAUAAUAACUGCUUCAUCUUAACCUAUUUUAGAACUUUUUACUGGAAAUAGAUCUGGGAUAUUGCAGGGAUCUGGCAUACCCCAGUAUACAGAAGUUCAGCCAACCAGCAUCACCACAUUGUGUUAUUCCCUUGCCUGGCAUGGUAGACCAUCAGUCUUGCUUUCUUGUGAAUCUGAAGUUAGAAAAACUGUUGAAAG